GAUGAACGCUGGCGGCGUGCCUAAUACAUGCAAGUCGAGCGAACAGACGAGGAGCUUGCUCCUCUGACGUUAGCGGCGGACGGGUGAGUAACACGUGGAUAACCUACCUAUAAGACUGGGAUAACUUCGGGAAACCGGAGCUAAUACCGGAUAAUAUAUUGAACCGCAUGGUUCAAUAGUGAAAGACGGUUUUGCUGUCACUUAUAGAUGGAUCCGGGCGGCAUUAGCUAGUUGGUAAGGUAACGGCUUACCAAGGCAACGAUGCGUAGCCGACCUGAGAGGGUGAUCGGCCACACGGGAACUGAGACACGGUCCAGACUCCUACGGGAGGCAGCAGUAGGGAAUCGUCCGCAAUGGGCGAAAGCUUGACGGAGCAGCGCCGCGUGAGUGAUGAAGGUCUUCGGAUCGUAAAACUCUGUUAUUAGGGAAGAACAAAUGUGUAAGUAACUAUGCACGUCUUGACGGUACCUAAUCAGAAAGCCACGGCUAACUACGUG
Molecule: ribosomal RNA, 497 nt
Filed under: uncultured bacterium
Lineage: Bacteria
Description: partial 16S ribosomal RNA
Rfam family: Bacterial small subunit ribosomal RNA
Source: RNAcentral